RNAcentral lists this ribosomal RNA (253 nucleotides) under uncultured bacterium. RNAcentral's name for it is "partial 16S ribosomal RNA". It matches the Rfam family "Bacterial small subunit ribosomal RNA", at positions 524 to 776 of the family's 1533-position model. The record is from RNAcentral.
UACGGAGGGUGCGAGCGUUGUCCGGAAUCACUGGGCGUAAAGGGCGCGUAGGUGGUUAGAUGCGCCGGUGGUGAAAGCGCAGGGCUCAACCCUGCGUCGGCCAUCGGGACGGUCUGACUUGAGCACUGUAGAGGCAGGUGGAAUUCCGGGUGUAGCGGUGGAAUGCGUAGAGAUCCGGAAGAACACCGGCGGCGAAGGCGGCCUGCUGGGCAGUAGCUGACACUGAGGGACGAAAGCGUGGGGAGCAAACAGG